This 221-nucleotide long non-coding RNA is filed under the name Elaeis guineensis (African oil palm). RNAcentral's name for it is "long non-coding RNA (EGUI_LNC066369)". Lineage: Eukaryota; Viridiplantae; Streptophyta; Magnoliopsida; Arecales; Arecaceae. The record is from RNAcentral.
AUCAAAUCAAAUCCAAAUCAAACUGAAUCCAAUUCAAUUAGACUUUGUUUGAACCUCAUUGCUCAAUCAAAUUGAGCUAACUAGUAAUCCAAUUACUAAUUAAUCCUCCUAUAAUUCACUAACACUUAAAAAAUUAUUAAAUUGUAACUUUUGCGUAAGAUUAAUCAUCAAUCACAUUGAUGAUUAUACACUUCAACGAUUCAUAAUCGUUGAUCAACCAU